RNAcentral lists this ribosomal RNA (1341 nucleotides) under uncultured Microbacteriaceae bacterium. RNAcentral describes it as "bacterial SSU rRNA". It matches the Rfam family "Bacterial small subunit ribosomal RNA", at positions 28 to 1380 of the family's 1533-position model. The record is from RNAcentral. Lineage: Bacteria; Bacillati; Actinomycetota; Actinomycetes; Micrococcales; Microbacteriaceae.
GAUGAACGCUGGCGGCGUGCUUAACACAUGCAAGUCGAACGGCGAAGCCAAGCUUGCUUGGUGGAUCAGUGGCGAACGGGUGAGUAACACGUGAGCAACCUGCCCUGGACUCUGGGAUAAGCGCUGGAAACGGCGUCUAAUACUGGAUAUGAGCUCUCAUCGCAUGGUGGGGGUUGGAAAGAUUUUUCGGUCUGGGAUGGGCUCGCGGCCUAUCAGCUUGUUGGUGAGGUAAUGGCUCACCAAGGCGUCGACGGGUAGCCGGCCUGAGAGGGUGACCGGCCACACUGGGACUGAGACACGGCCCAGACUCCUACGGGAGGCAGCAGUGGGGAAUAUUGCACAAUGGGCGGAAGCCUGAUGCAGCAACGCCGCGUGAGGGAUGACGGCCUUCGGGUUGUAAACCUCUUUUAGCAGGGAAGAAGCGAGAGUGACGGUACCUGCAGAAAAAGCGCCGGCUAACUACGUGCCAGCAGCCGCGGUAAUACGUAGGGCGCAAGCGUUAUCCGGAAUUAUUGGGCGUAAAGAGCUCGUAGGCGGUUUGUCGCGUCUGCUGUGAAAUCCCGAGGCUCAACCUCGGGCCUGCAGUGGGUACGGGCAGACUAGAGUGCGGUAGGGGAGAUUGGAAUUCCUGGUGUAGCGGUGGAAUGCGCAGAUAUCAGGAGGAACACCGAUGGCGAAGGCAGAUCUCUGGGCCGUAACUGACGCUGAGGAGCGAAAGGGUGGGGAGCAAACAGGCUUAGAUACCCUGGUAGUCCACCCCGUAAACGUUGGGAACUAGUUGUGGGGACCAUUCCACGGUUUCCGUGACGCAGCUAACGCAUUAAGUUCCCCGCCUGGGGAGUACGGCCGCAAGGCUAAAACUCAAAGGAAUUGACGGGGACCCGCACAAGCGGCGGAGCAUGCGGAUUAAUUCGAUGCAACGCGAAGAACCUUACCAAGGCUUGACAUACACCAGAACACCGUAGAAAUACGGGACUCUUUGGACACUGGUGAACAGGUGGUGCAUGGUUGUCGUCAGCUCGUGUCGUGAGAUGUUGGGUUAAGUCCCGCAACGAGCGCAACCCUCGUUCUAUGUUGCCAGCACGUAAUGGUGGGAACUCAUGGGAUACUGCCGGGGUCAACUCGGAGGAAGGUGGGGAUGACGUCAAAUCAUCAUGCCCCUUAUGUCUUGGGCUUCACGCAUGCUACAAUGGCCGGUACAAAGGGCUGCAAUACCGUGAGGUGGAGCGAAUCCCAAAAAGCCGGUCCCAGUUCGGAUUGAGGUCUGCAACUCGACCUCAUGAAGUCGGAGUCGCUAGUAAUCGCAGAUCAGCAACGCUGCGGUGAAUACGUUCCCGGGUC